Molecule: ribosomal RNA, 529 nt
Filed under: bacterium K34
Lineage: Bacteria
Description: bacterial SSU rRNA
Rfam family: Bacterial small subunit ribosomal RNA
Source: RNAcentral
UCGGGAAACCGGAGCUAAUACCGGAUAAUCCUUUUCCUCUCAUGAGGAAAAGCUGAAAGACGGCUUCUCGCUGUCACUUACAGAUGGGCCCGCGGCGCAUUACCUAGUUGGGGAGGUAACGGCUCACCAAGGCAACGAUGCGUAGCCAACCUGAAAGGGUGAUCGGCCACACUGGGACUGAAACACGGCCCAAACUCCUACGGGAGGCAGCAGUAGGGAAUCUUCCGCAAUGGACAAAAGUCUGACGGACCAACGCCGCGUGAGUGAUGAAGGUUUUCGGAUCGUAAAGCUCUGUUGUUAGGGAAAAACAAGUACAAAAGUAACUGCUUGUACCUUGACGGUACCUAACCAAAAAGCCACGGCUAACUACGUGCCACCAGCCGCGGUAAUACGUAGGUGGCAAGCGUUGUCCGGAAUUAUUGGGCGUAAAGCGCGCGCAGGCGGUCCUUUAAGUCUGAUGUGAAAGCCCACGGCUCAACCGUGGAGGGUCAUUGGAAACUGGGGGACUUGAGUGCAAAAAAGAAGAGUG